This 492-nucleotide ribosomal RNA is filed under the name Armandia brevis. RNAcentral describes it as "partial 16S ribosomal RNA". It matches the Rfam family "Bacterial large subunit ribosomal RNA", at positions 1796 to 2611 of the family's 2925-position model. The record is from RNAcentral. Lineage: Eukaryota; Metazoa; Annelida; Polychaeta; Opheliidae.
UCGCCUGUUUAUCAAAAACAUUGCCUUUUGGACUUAUUUAAGGUAUACCCUGCCCAAUGCAAAAGUCAAUGGCCGCAGUAUCUUGACUGUGCGAAGGUAGGCUGAUAAGUUGCCCCUUAAUAUGGGGAUCCCACGAAUGGGUGAACGAGACGUAAGCUGUCUCAACUUAGCAAAACGAAUAUAACUGUGAGGUGAAGAGGCCUUUAUAUUUUUGUGGGACGAGUAGACCCUACAGCGCUUUACUUUUUUAAGUUUGGUUGGGGCGACAUUGGAGAACCUAAAUCCUCCAAGACUUAAAAAGACCUACGUGUAAGGAUCCGGAAACACCGAAAAUCGGCAUAAGCAACCUUAGGGAUAACAGGCCGUUCUCCCUAGAGAGCUCAAAUUGAUAGGGAGGCUGGGCACCUCGAUGUUGGCUCGGAUAAUACUACUCGGUGCAGAAGUUGGGUUAGUGGGUUUGCUAGACCUUUAAUUGUCCACGUGAUCUGAGUU